GAAAUCCUUAAAGAUGAUAAGAUUUCCAAAUUUAUUCAGCAGACAGAGCAUCAGAGCGAAAGACAGAAUGAGGAAAUCAAGAUAAAAUCUACCAGCAGUUCACCAAGCGAGGUAAAAGAAUUUGAUAUUAAUUCGGAGUCCCAAUUAACUAGAAGACAUUUAUAAAAACUUAUGA
RNAcentral lists this long non-coding RNA (175 nucleotides) under Chinchilla lanigera (long-tailed chinchilla). RNAcentral's name for it is "lncRNA (ENSCLAG00000027857.1)". Lineage: Eukaryota; Metazoa; Chordata; Mammalia; Rodentia; Chinchillidae. The record is from RNAcentral.